GUGCCAGCCGCCGCGGUAAUACGGAGGGGGCUAGCGUUGUUCGGAAUCACUGGGCGUAAAGCGCGCGUAGGCGGAUAGUUAAGUCGGGGGUGAAAGCCCGGAGCUCAACUCCGGAACUGCCUCCGAUACUGGCUGUCUUGAGUCCGAGAGAGGUGAGUGGAAUUCCCAGUGUAGAGGUGAAAUUCGUAGAUAUUGGGAAGAACACCAGUGGCGAAGGCGGCUCACUGGCUCGGUACUGACGCUGAGGUGCGAAAGCGUGGGGAGCAAACAGGAUUAGAAACCCGGGUAGUCCCGAAA
Molecule: ribosomal RNA, 297 nt
Filed under: uncultured bacterium
Lineage: Bacteria
Description: partial 16S ribosomal RNA
Rfam family: Bacterial small subunit ribosomal RNA
Source: RNAcentral